GCGCCGUUAGCUCAAUUGGCAGAGCAGUUGGCUCUUAACCAGCGGGUUGGGGGUUCGAUUCCCUCACGGCGCA
Molecule: transfer RNA, 73 nt
Filed under: Actinomyces sp.
Lineage: Bacteria; Bacillati; Actinomycetota; Actinomycetes; Actinomycetales; Actinomycetaceae
Also listed under: 2 other names
Description: tRNA-Lys
Rfam family: tRNA
About the family: Transfer RNA (tRNA) molecules are approximately 80 nucleotides in length. Their secondary structure includes four short double-helical elements and three loops (D, anti-codon, and T loops).
Source: RNAcentral